This is a long non-coding RNA of Xenia sp. Carnegie-2017, 845 nucleotides long. RefSeq lists it as uncharacterized. Lineage: Eukaryota; Metazoa; Cnidaria; Anthozoa; Malacalcyonacea; Xeniidae. The transcript is spliced from 3 exons. The record is from RefSeq and is a predicted model, not a curated record.
UCAGUGGUAUAGUUAAGUUAGUAUUCUGUGCAUUCUCUGUGACGAUGGUGUUAGUAUCAGAGUUGUAAAUUGACAUCUUCCUCGUGAACAUGGAUCACAAAGCUCUUGGAAUGAAGAAAAACCAUUAUGAAAGAAUUAGAUUGUAAGAAAAAUUAAAUAUGGAAUGACUUUAACAUUUGGCCACUACAACUGACGCAACAAAGAAGAAUCUUCUGUUGACUUGUAGCUAACAGUAGAUUCCAUACAUGGGUAAUUGCUGCUGUCCAAAACCUGACACCUCCGUUGGCGAGGAACCGUUCUUGAAAGAGGGGAAUUGUGGUAUGAUCUGUUCUUAACAGUUCCUCCAAACAGGCCCUGCGCACAAAAAUUAAUAAUUGGAAUAGCAAUUUAAUCACCCAGACUCAAAAUAUGGACUGUGUAGCACAACCUAUCAAAAUUUCAAGUAAUUUGGUGCACGCUCUGGCAAACUCAAUGUCUUCAAAACUUGCAUUAUUUCGAGUUUGUGCAUUUCAAACAAAGUUUGUUCUAUCAUAUCAAGUUCAAUUUAUGCAUUAGCGGGAAAUUGCAUAAAUUACAAUAUGAAAUUAUCAACUCCAAUUCUCAAAAGUGUAUUUGUUGUAUAAAGCAAGGUAUGAAAUGCAAAAACGCAAAAAUCCAUGUUUUCAGCGCGUGCGCCAAAAGUUUGAGAUUACGAUAGAGCUUUUUUUUAUUUGAUCAUUUUUUUCGAACGGUCUGUUUUGAAGGAUUUUUAACAAUGUAAAAAAUCUUGCAUUUUCCGAAUUUUAAGUGCCUGCCAUGUCAAAGAACGUUAAAAUACUUAAAAUUAGUAAAGGUUUUUGGUUAUU